This 489-nucleotide ribosomal RNA is filed under the name uncultured bacterium. Its description in RNAcentral is "partial 16S ribosomal RNA". It matches the Rfam family "Bacterial small subunit ribosomal RNA", at positions 28 to 507 of the family's 1533-position model. The record is from RNAcentral.
GACGAACGCUGGCGGCGUGCUUAACACAUGCAAGUCGAACGGUGAAGGGAUCAGCUUGCUGGUUCUGGAUGAGUGGCGAACGGGUGAGUAACACGUGAGUAACCUGCCCCCUUCUUCUGGAUAACCGCAUGAAAGUGUGGCUAAUACGGGAUAUUCUGGGUCUGUCGCAUGAUGGGUCUGGGAAAGAUAUUGUUUCGGUGGGGGAUGGGCUCGCGGCCUAUCAGCUUGUUGGUGGGGUGAUGGCCUACCAAGGCGGUGACGGGUAGCCGGCCUGAGAGGGUGGACGGUCACACUGGGACUGCGACACGGCCCAGACUCCUACGGGAGGCAGCAGUGGGGAAGAUUGCACAAUGGGCGCAAGCCUGAUGCAGCGACGCCGCGUGAGGGAUGGAGGCCUUCGGGUUGUAAACCUCUUUCGCCAGUGAAGCAGGCCUGCUCCUUGUGGGUGGGUUGACGGUAGCUGGAGAAGAAGCGCCGGCUAACUACGUG